GACGAACGCUGGCGGCGUGCUUAACACAUGCAAGUCGAGCGGUAAGGCCCUUUCGGGGGUACACGAGCGGCGAACGGGUGAGUAACACGUGGGUGACCUGCCUUUAGCUCUGGGAUAAGCCUGGGAAACUGGGUCUAAUACCGGAUAUGACUCCGCGGUGCAUGCUGUGGGGUGGAAAGCCUUGUGCGGCUGGAGAUGGGCCCGCGGCCUAUCAGCUUGUUGGUGGGGUGAUGGCCUACCAAGGCGACGACGGGUAGCCGGCCUGAGAGGGCGACCGGCCACACUGGGACUGAGACACGGCCCAGACUCCUACGGGAGGCAGCAAGUGGGGAAUCUUGCGCAAUGGGCGAAAGCCUGACGCAGCGACGCCGCGUGAGGGAUGACGGCCU
RNAcentral lists this ribosomal RNA (389 nucleotides) under uncultured bacterium. Its description in RNAcentral is "bacterial SSU rRNA". It matches the Rfam family "Bacterial small subunit ribosomal RNA", at positions 28 to 417 of the family's 1533-position model. The record is from RNAcentral.